This 752-nucleotide long non-coding RNA is filed under the name Nicotiana benthamiana. RNAcentral's name for it is "long non-coding RNA (NBEN_LNC003356)". The record is from RNAcentral. Lineage: Eukaryota; Viridiplantae; Streptophyta; Magnoliopsida; Solanales; Solanaceae.
UACCCUUUUACGUCUCUCAUCCCACACUUCCACGAACUCACGUCCCAUUAUCUCCACUUCCUUAUAAGUUAAAAAAUUAUUCAUACUCAUUAUAUAAAGAGAAAAAGACUUCUGUUAUAAAAAAAAGGAACGAAAUUGAAAAGAAAGAAAAAGACUUUGCAAAAGAAAAAGAAAAGGUAGUAAUUCAACCAAGGCAAGAUUCAAAAAGAAUUAUUUGGUUGAGUUUCCAAGCUCCGUUCGUUGUUCGGAGUUUGUAUAGUACGUUUUCUGCGGAUAUUCACAAGGAAAUUUAAGUGUCCAUUCGAGAUGGGUUUUCGAUUCCUGCUUCAUAUUGUUGCUGUAUUUUCUUCUGGACUUCAUCUAGUUGACCCUGUUGCAAAAAUAUUUCUUUGCAUAUUAAAGAAGAAGCAUAUUAACAGGUUUAUUUUUAAUAAUUCCUCUUUAUUUUGCUAAUGUGUUCACAGUCUAUUGUCUUAGUAUUAUUUUUAUUUUUUUACGUUUAUGUUUGUAUUCAUAUGUCUUAGUUUUACGCCUGUUUUCAUGUUUUUGUGUCAUUUUCUUUCAUUUUGAUGUAAUAAGCUCAUCAGUUUAAGCCUGUUGGAAGAGAAUUCUCAUUAUGCUUUAAUUUUCAAUACAUUCCUGUGGAAGAGAAUUCUCAUUAUGCUUUAAUUUUCAAUACAUUCUUUUAUUAUUUGGAGAAUUAUUUAAUUUAAUAUGCUAAUUUGGGAUUGAAUCAUAAAGUUAUAUUUUCA